Molecule: long non-coding RNA, 214 nt
Filed under: Lathyrus oleraceus (garden pea)
Lineage: Eukaryota; Viridiplantae; Streptophyta; Magnoliopsida; Fabales; Fabaceae
Description: Pisum sativum (pea) long non-coding RNA (PSAT_LNC042116)
Source: RNAcentral
UUCUGUUUACCUUUGGUUGAUGAUGAUUUGGUUCACUUUUGACCAAUUGUGUUUGACACUUUAUUUCUCCUUUCAUUCAUUUUCAUCUUCAUCUCAUUUCUUUUUUUAUUUUGGCCAAUGAGUUAAUAUCUUAUGGUUGGUCUUGACAUAUUUCAGCUUCUGCAGCAGCAGCAGCGUCAGCUAGAGCUUUGGCCUCAGCUUCCUUGGCCCUUUG